This 253-nucleotide ribosomal RNA is filed under the name uncultured bacterium. Its description in RNAcentral is "partial 16S ribosomal RNA". It matches the Rfam family "Bacterial small subunit ribosomal RNA", at positions 524 to 776 of the family's 1533-position model. The record is from RNAcentral.
UACGAAGGGGGCUAGCGUUGCUCGGAAUCACUGGGCGUAAAGGGUGCGUAGGCGGUUCUUUAAGUCAGGGGUGAAAUCCUGGAGCUCAACUCCAGAACUGCCUUUGAUACUGAGGAUCUUGAGUUCGGGAGAGGUGAGUGGAACUGCGAGUGUAGAGGUGAAAUUCGUAGAUAUUCGCAAGAACACCAGUGGCGAAGGCGGCUCACUGGCCCGAUACUGACGCUGAGGCACGAAAGCGUGGGGAGCAAACAGG